This is a long non-coding RNA of Salvelinus fontinalis (brook trout), 10233 nucleotides long. RefSeq lists it as uncharacterized. Lineage: Eukaryota; Metazoa; Chordata; Actinopteri; Salmoniformes; Salmonidae. The transcript is spliced from 2 exons. The record is from RefSeq and is a predicted model, not a curated record.
AGGAGGGUGUAUGGUGCACUUCACAAAAUAGAUGGCAUCAUGAGGGAGGGAAAUUAUGUGGAUAUAUUGAAGCAACAUCUAAAGACAUCAGUCAGGAAGUUAAAGCUUGGUCGCAAAUGGGUCUUCCAAAUGGACAAUGACCCCAAGCAUACUUCCAAAGUUGUGGCAAAAUGGCUUAAGGACAACAAAGUCAAGGAAUUGGAGUGACCAUCGCAAAGCCCUGACAUCAAUCCUAUAGAACAUUUGUGGGCAGAACUGAAAAAGUGUGUGCGAGCAAGGAUGCCUACAAACCUGACUCAGUUACACCAGCUCUGUCAGGAGGAAUGGGCCAAAAUUCACCCAACUUAUUGUGGGAAGCUUGUGGAAGGCUACCCGAAACAUUUGAUCCAAGUUAAAACAAUUUAAAAGCAAUGCUACCAAAUACUAAUUGAGUGUAUGUAAACUUCUGACCCACUGGAAAUGUCAUGGAAUAAAUAAAAGCUGAAAUAAAUAAUUCUCUCUAAAAAUUAUUAUGACAUUUCACAUUCUUAAAAUAUAGUGGUGAUCCUAACUGACCUAAGACAGGGAAUUUUUACAAGGAUUAAAUGUCAGGAAUUGUGAAAAACUGAGUUUAAAUGUAUUUGGCUAAGUUGUAUGUAAACUUCUGACUUCAACUGUAUAUGAAUUUACAUCCAACUAAGAGCAAGUGGACAAAUGACAGCUUGGACUGACAAAACAUGUUUGACAUUAAGCAUACUGACAUAUACAGUGGGGCAAAAAAGUAUUUAGUCAGCCACCAAUUGUGCAAGUUCUCCCACUUAAAAAGAUGAGAGAGGCCUGUAAUUUUCAUCAUAGGUACACUUCAACUAUGACAGACAAAAUGAGAAAAAAAAUCCAGAAAAUCACAUUGUAGGAUUUUUAAUGAAUUUGCAAAUUAUGGUGGAAAAUAAGUAUUUGGUCAAUAACAAAAGUAUAUCUCAAUACUUUGUUAUAUACCCUUUGUUGGCAAUGACAGAGGUCAAACGUUUUCUGUAAGUCUUCACAGGGUUUUCACACACUGUUGUUGGUAUUUUGUCCCAUUCCUCCAUGCAGAUCUCCUCUAGAGCAGUGAUGUUUUGGGGCUGUUGCUGGGCAACACGGACUUUCAACUCCCUCCAAAGAUUUUCUAUGGGGUUGAGAUCUGGAGACUAGCUAGUUCACUCCAGGACCUUUAAAUGCUUCUUACGAAGCCACUCCUUCGUUGCCCAGGCGGUGUGUUUGGGAUCAUUGUCAUGCUGAAAGACCCAGCCACGUUUCAUCUUCAAUGCCCUUGCUGAUGGAAGGAGGUUUUCACUCAAAAUCUCACGAUACAUGGCCCCAUUCAUUCUUUCCUUUACACGGAUCAGUCGUCCUGGUCCCUUUGCAGAAAAACAGCCCCAAAGCAUGAUGUUUCCACCCUCAUGCUUCACAGUAGGUAUGGUGUUCUUUGGAUGCAACUCAGCAUUCUUUGUCCUCCAAACACGACGAGUUGAGUUUUUACCAAAAAGUUAUAUUUUGGUUUCAUCUGACCAUAUGACAUUCUCCCAAUCUUCUUCUGGAUCAUCCAAAUGCUCUCUAGCAAACUUCAGACGGGCCUGGACAUGUACUGGCUUAAGCAGGGGGACACGUCUGGCACUGCAGGAUUUGAGUCCCUGGCGGCGUAGUGUGUUACUGAUGGUAGGCUUUGUUACUUUGGUCCCAGCUCUCUGCAGGUCAUUCACUAGGUCCCCCCGUGUGGUUCUGGGAUUUUUGCUCACCGUUCUUGUGAUCAUUUUGACCCCACAGGGUGAGAUCUUGCGUGGAGCCCCAGAUCGAGGGAGAUUAUCAGUGAUCUUGUAUGUCUUCCAUUUCCUAAUAAUUGCUCCCACAGUUGAUUUCUUCAAACCAAGCUGCUUACCUAUUGCAGAUUCAGUCUUCCCAGCCUGGUGCAGGUCUACAAUUUUGUUUCUGGUGUCCUUUGACAGCUCUUUGGUCUUGGCCAUAGUGGAGUUUGGAGUGUGACUGUUUGAGGUUGUGGACAGGUGUCUUUUAUACUGAUAACAAGUUCAAACAGGUGCCAUUAAUACAGGUAACGAGUGGAGGACAGAGGAGCCUCUUAAAGAAGAAGUUACAGGUCUGUGAGAGCCAGAAAUCUUGCUUGUUUGCAGGUGACCAAAUACUUAUUUUCCACCAUAAUUUGCAAAUAAAUUCAUUAAAAAUCCUACAAUGGGAUUUUCUGGAUUUUUUUUUCUCAUUUUGUCUGUCAGUUGAAGUGUACCUAUGAUAAAAAUUACAGGCCUCUCUCAUCUUUUUAAGUGGGAGAACUUGCACAAUUGGUGGCUGACUAAAUACUCUUUUGCCCCACUGUACCAUUGUCAAACUCAAUUUCAUAUUCUGCUUUAGUUAUGUUGAGUCAACACAUAGAUCUGUCAAAGAUGGACUCAGAACACAUACAACUUUGUUUAAAAAAAAAACAUGACUGUAUUAUCACCUGUGACACCAGCACAUGACAAAAUCAUGUGAACCAAGACAUGCUGAAAAUAUAUUACAAUUCUGGGUAAAACCUUGAAGCAGGAGUUUUUGGUUGAUACUGUAGGACCCUUUCAGCUUUCAAAAAGACCACUUGCUCAGUAAAAUAACAUUUACCGUCGAUUCCAUGGGAUUUUUUCGCUCUUUUUUUAAUCUAAAAAUUACAGUUAACAGUGAAUGAGUUGAGUCCACUCCUUAGCAAACAACUGCCCAUCAUCAGUAAUCAGAUACAACUGGAUAAAAUGUGCACCCUUGGCAACACAUUUAGAUAAGAAUGUGAACAGACUAGCUAGCCUGGUUCCAGAUCUGUUUGUUCUCUUCCCAAUGCCAUUGGUUUCGUUGUCAAGACAAUCACCAUCCUCUAUUCUUCAUUGUUUUGUUUGAAACAAACAAUAAAAUAAUACAGCAGUUACUCAUACUGUAGGAAAAAUAUUGCAGACAGUGUAAAAUUAUAUAAAGCCAAUAAAUCCAUGAAUUAAUCAAUUCAUAAAUCUGUUCCCUUUUUCUGCUUUAUGAAGUGCAGUAAAUGUUUUUUGUUUGAAAGGCAAUAUUUUUUUGUGAUGGUCCAAAAUAUGUUUCCUCCGUGGUAAGAGGACAUCAGCAGGUCCAGCAGCCAUCACAGCAAUCCUUAUGGUCAGUGCAACUACAAUAUUAUAGCAGUUUCAACAAACUUCUAGGCCUACUUACAAGAGACAGAGCUAACCUGAGAUGCAAAUAAUCCACAAAAUUAGGGAUUUGUUAUACGAAUAAAUUACUAUUUAUUUUACAUUUACAGUGCAUACGGAAAGUGAUGCAAAGAUGGUUGUCCUUCUGGAAGGUUCUGCCAUAUCCACAGAGGAACUCUGGAGCUCUGUCAGAGUGACCAUUGGGUUCUUGGUCACCUCCCUGACCAAGGCCCUUCUCCCCCGAUUGCUCAGUUUGGCUGGGCGGGCAGCUCUAGGAAGAGUCUUGGUGGUUCUAAACUUCUUCCUUUUAAGUAUGAUGGAGGCCACUGUGUUCUUGGGGACCUUCAAUGCUGCACACAUUUUUUUGGUACACUUUCCCAAAUCUGUGCAUCGAACACAAUCCUGUCUCGGAGCUCUACGGACAAUUCCUUCGACCUCGUGGCUUGGUUUUUGCCCAAACAUGCACUGUCAACUGUGGGACCUUUAUUUUUAAAAAUAAUAAUUUAUACUUUUAUUUAACUAGGCAAGACAGUUAAAAACACAUUCUUAUUUACAAUGACGGCCUUCCAGGUGGGUUAACUACCUUGUUCAUGGGCAUAACGACAGAUUUUUACCUUGUCAGCUCAGGGAUUCAAUCCAGCAACCUUUUGGUUACUGGCCCAAUGCUCUAACCACUAGGCUAUCUGCCACCCCACAUAUAGACAGGUGUGUGACCGGAUUGUCAAGGCACAGAUCUGGGAAAGGGUACCAAACAAUUUCUGCAGCAUUAAAGUUCCCCAAGAACACAGUGGCCUCCAUCAUUCUUAAAUGGAAGAAGUUUGGAACCACCAAACCUCCUUGAGUGGCCCAGCCAGAGCCCGGAAUUGAACCCGUUCGAACAUCUAUGGAGAGACCUGAAACUAGCUGUGCAGCUACGCUCGCCAUCCAACCUGACAGAGCUUGAGAGGAUCUGCAGAGAAGAAUGGGAGAAACUCCCCAAAUAUAGGCGUUCCAAACUUGUAGCGUCAUACCCAUGAAGACUAGAGGCUCUAAUCGCUGCCAAAGGUGCUUUAACGUAGUCCUGAGUAAAGGGUCUGAAUACUUAUGUAAAUGUGAUAUUUCAGUCUUUUAUUUUUAAUACAUUUGCAAAAAUGUCUACUAAAAACCUGCUUUUGCGUUGUCAUUGUGGGGUAUUGUGUGUAGAUUGAUGAGGGGAGGGAAACUAUUAAAUCAAUUUUAGAAUAAGGCCAUAACGUAACAAAAUGAGAAAAAAGUCAAGGGGUCUGAAUACUUUCCGAAUGCACUGUAUAUAUACAGUACCAGUCAAAAGUUUGGACACACCUACUCAUUCAAGGGUUUUUCUUUAUUUUCACUAUUUUCUACAUUGUCGAAUAAUAGUGAAGACAUCAAAACUAUGACAUGACACAUAUGGAGUCAUGUAGUAACCAAAAAAAGUGUUAAACAAAUCAAAAUAUAUAUUUUAUAUUUGAGAUUCUUCCGACUAGCCACCCUUUGCCUUGAUGACAGCUUUGCACACACUUGCCAUUCUCUAAACCAGCUUCAUGAGGUAGUCACCUGGAAUGCAAUUAAAUUAACAGUUGUGCCUUGUUAAAAGUUAAUUUGCGGAAUUUCUUUCCUUCUUAAUGCAUUUGAGCCAAUCAGUUGUGUUGUGACAAGGUAGGGGUGGUAUACAGAAGAUAGCCCUAUUUGGUAAAAGACCAAGUUCAUAUUAUGGAAAGAACAGCUCAAAUAAGCAAAGAGAAAUGAUAGUCCAUCAUUACUUUAAGACAUGAAGGUCAGUCAAUCAGGAACAUUUCAAGAACUUUGAAAGUUUCUUCAAGUGCCGUCGCAAAAAACAUAAAGAGUUAUGAUGAAACUGGCUCUCAUGAGGACCGCCACAGGAAAGGAAGACCCAGAGUUACCUCUGCUGCAGAGAAUAAGUUCAUUAGAGUUACCAGCCUCAGAAAUUGCAGCCCAAAUAAAUGCUUCUCAGAGUUCAAGUAACAGACACAUAUCAACAUCAACUGUUCAGAGGAGACUGUGUGAAUCAGGCCUUCAUGGUCGAAUUGCUGCAAACAAUACACUACUAAAGUACACCAAUAAUAAUAAGAGACUGGCUUGGGCCAAGAAACACAAGCAAUGGACAUUAGGCCGCUGGAAAUCUGUGCAAAUGUGAGAAUUUUGGUUCCAACCACUGUGUGUUCGUGAGACGCAGAGUAGGUGAACGAAUGCUCUCUGCAUGUGUGGUUCCCACCGUGAAGCAUGGAGGAGGAGGUGUGAUGGUGCUUUGCUGGUGACAGUGUCUGUGAUUUAUUUAGAAUUCAAGGCACACUUAACCAGCAUGGCUACCACAGCAUUCUGCAGCGAUACACCAUCCCAUCUGCUUUGCACUUAGUGGGACUAUCAUUUGUUUUUCAACAGGACAAUGACCCAAAACACACCUCCUGUGUAGGGGCUAUUUGACCAAGAAGGAGAGUGAUGGAAUGGUGCAUCAGAUGACCUGGCCUUCAUAAUCACCCGACCUCAACCCAAUUGAGAUGGUUUGGGAUGAGUUGGACCGGAAAACAAAAUUGUAUUUAAAAAGUGAAUGCAACUCUCUUAAUUUCUUUAACACCAGUAAUGUAUUGUGUUGAAUUUGCCUCAAUGUGUGUCAGUUUUGAUUUUCAUAUGUGGAACAGUUCCAUUUCAAUAAUAACGUUUUAGUUUUAUUUGUAUCAUUUGUAGUAAAAUGUUUAUGAUUAACCAUGUGACAAUGGUUUCACGUGGUUAAUCAUAAACAUUUUACUACAAAUUACACAAAUAUCGAAGUUAAAAUUUAACUAAUGUGAAAGCACUAGCCUCUGCCAUACGGACACAUUGAUACACUGUGAUCAUUGGCUAAACGGCCUAAACGAGCGCAUGGAACUCAGAGAUGGUCAAUGCAGCUCACACACCAGACCUAGGUGAUUAUUGAGUUGCGACUGUCAGUGAAAAGCAUCUGAAAUAUGUGUGAAGAUAAUGUGUCUCGAGUCUAAUUUAAAAUGUUGAGACAAGAAGAUGUGAGGCGAAAGAUAGUUUAUAGGCGCAUCUCUCUCCAGAAUGCAUGCGCUCAGCUCUCAGAAUCCACUAAACUUUCUCCCGACAAUUAUUGCGCUGUUAUUUAAUUUAACUAGACAAGAAAGUUAAAAACAAAUUCUUAUUUACAAUGACGGUCUACCCCGGCCAAACGCUCCCCUAACGACGCUGGGAAAAUUGUGCGACGCCCUAUGGGACUCCUGAUCGCGGCUGGUUGUGAUACAGCCCGGGACCAAACCUGGGUCUAUAUUGUUGCAUCUGACAUCUGUUGCACUGCGAAGCACUGAGUUGAUACAAUGUUGCAAUUUUGCUAGCGAUAACUCAAGUCAAGACAGAUCAAAAGGGAGGAAGACAGGCUGAGUAGAGAGAUGAAUGUGAUUGAAAUAACCAGAAUUUUAAUCAGUAUAUUUCCUACUGUGUUUUUAUUUGUCGGCUUCAUGUAGGCUAUUUUUACUUAUUUGACAAUACAUGUUUUAGGCCAACAGUGUGCUCGCGCACGUUAGGCUACGUUAAAUGAACUAACUUCUAGCUUGUUAGUCGCCCAUCUCGCCCCGUUACAAUGGGCUGUUUUCUGAUCAAGAGAAGAGUUCGGGUAGAAAUUGAAAAUCCAGAUCCUGUCUCCGAGGGUGCCAAAGAAGAAGAGGGAGAUAAGAAAAAGAAGUCGUAGAGAGAAACUCGGGAGCCACGACGUGAGGGGUGAGCACCAGAGCAGUUCGUCAGCCACCGUUAGCUUGCACUGUUAGCACAGCCACCGCCCCCUCCGAUUUAAGCCAGUCACCUGUUGAAGAACCAAUGCGCCCUCUUCUUCGGCGUUUUCCAGCCACAAAAGUUAGACAGCAGGAUCGCUACUUCAAUCAUAGAUGUAUGAGGAUUAUACAUGGCUGAAAUAGUAUAUUUCAAAGGAGCAUGCUUUCUGCUUUGCAUGCCGCCACUUUUAACGUCCAGGAAACCAUGGUGGAGAGAAAGCGACAUUUGCCCACGAUGGCAACCAGAACUGGAAGAAGGCGACAGGUUCGUUCAAGACACACAAUGCUAGUGUGGAGCAUAAAUAUGCAAUGACAGCGUGGAAUGAGUGGACUAUUCAGAAAGUGUCUGGCUCAACAAUAUGCAAUGCUCUAAGUGAUGAACAUUCGAAAAUAGUCCGAGACAACAGAGAGUAUAUGAGAGCAGUUGUGAAGUCAUUGCGUUACACUGCAUACCAGGGACUUUCACAGAGAGGAGACAUAGAAAACGACAUGGCUGUCAACCAGGGAAACUUCCUUGACCUUUUACAGGUCAUAGGCAAAUUCGACAAAACAGUUGCACAGAAAAUAUCAGAUAAUCCUAGAAAUACUAAGUACACGCAUCAUGAUAUACAGAAUGAAAUACUAGACAUUAUGGCAAAUAAGAUUAGGGAUCUGAUAAGUGGUGAAAUACAAGAUGCUAAGCUGUUUGCAUUGAUGGUAGAUGAGAGUAAGGACCUCAGGAGUUUCUUUAGAUCCCGAGUCGCUUUUCGCUACGAUCAAAGAGACUCUUACGCUUCGAACACACCGGCUGCGUCAUUGCGUUUCGAUACACCAGAAGUACAUUCAUUUCCAAUGGAACGCUGCAUUUGCCUUGCAGCAUUGCGUUGCAGAGGCAGUUGCAGUGCGUUCUGUGUGGUGCAUACGUUCGAUAAAUCGAACGUAUGCAUCAAAUUGUAUGAGUGGACUUGACAGAAAGUAGCAAAAUAUGAAUGUAGAUUUUUUUUUGUUGCACAUAUUCAGUAAAAAGGUGGGAUUACAUAAAAACAGUUUGAUUGCAUAAUUUCUUUACAUUUUUUAUUUAUUUAUUUGCCAAGUAUAUUAUUUAUUCGAUGACAUCCUCAAAUUAAUUGUGAGAGCCUAUAAUAUAAUUUCCCUCCAAAAUGCAGUUUGAGCGAAAUGCAAUAAUAAAUAGUCAAGAUAGGCAGAGUAGGCUCUUUCAACAAUGAGACCAACGUUGAGGAAGGUGGUAUGACUAUUUCUUUCACCCACACCUCAUUGGUUAGGUUAGCAAGCUAGGUUAGCUAGCUAGCUAACGCUAACUAGCCACAUCUAGCACAAGCUCACUACUAAACUGACCUGGCAAUCCUACUAUCGUGGACACUUGUCUCCAAGCAGCAUUUUUUGUGUUUAUGUCCCUGUAGCUGUCAGCAGCUGUGUCAAAAAGACACGGUUUUGAGGAUACUGCGAAAAUUAUUCUCUCCUCCAUGUGUCCAACCGCAUGCGACCAUUUGCAAAAGGUACCUGCAUCAGUAUAGUUGCCUAGUUGCGCAAAAUGUUAUGCAGCAGUGAUGCAAUGACGCAGCCGGUGUGUUCGAAGCGUUAGUAAAUGUAACAUUGAUCACACUGCGCCGUCAUGUCCGGCGUUCACAACGGGGCCCAGGAGAAAUUCAGAGAAGAGGUCCCUCAGGCAAUCUACAUUCAUUGCCACGCACACCGUCUCAAUCUUGUUUUGGUGGACUGUGUCAGAAACGUGAAGCCAGCGGGGGAUUUUGUUGUCACACGUAUCUGUCACACUGUCAGUAACCUCCGCGUCAUGUGAGCAGUUUUUCCUGCAUGCGGCGUGUAAAAACCUACCUGAGAAACAGAAUGGCAAACCCUCCACUCAGCAACCUUGCCUGCCUGUCCAUACACGCAGAAAGAACCAAGACCCUGGAUGUCCAGAAAAUUAUAGGCUCAUUUGCACUGAACCACAACAGACGCAUCGUCCUUCUAUAAAACUACACUUGAGCGCGCCUGUCCGGUAGCGGAAACAUGAUUCAAUUGCGCUGAUCUGGAUGGAACAAGAAGACGCAUGCGUAUUGUCGGCCUACAUGUAUUUUUGCAAUAGAAAUAUAAUCACUAAGAUUGUGAUAGCCAGUUAGUUUUACAAGUGUGUGCACAGUUAAUAGGCGUAGGCUAAAUGCAUUGUACUUCUCGUUGUGGCUGCGCUUUGGAUAUUAUUAAUUUCAUUUUGGACGUUAUGAUAGCCAUUUCAUCCGAAACAUUACCAAUGCACAGUUGUCUGAUUAUGCAAAUGGAAUUAAUGCACUUCUUGUUGUUGUCGCAUUUUGGAUGUAUUGUGUUGUAUUGUGCUAAAAGACUUGAGAAUGAGGAUGAGCUGAAGUCUUUCAUCUUUGCACGUGAAAGACGUUUUUGUCAUUGCCUUGUGGUCACUUGUAUUAUGCUUAUAGCUAUUUUGUUGAAUAUUCUUUGGCCAAAUUCAAUUAAAAACUACAUUUAUAUCGAAUGUGCUGUGUGCCAUAUCUGCUUUUAUUGAAAAAACGAGAACUUCCUUAUAACUCUGAAGUCAUGAAAAUCAACUAUUUUCUUAGCACCCCCAAGUAUUGGUCAAGCCAAUUGUUUGACCCAUUACCCAGGUGACAAAAACAUUUGAAAUUCCAAUAUAAAUAAUGUAUUAUAUAAACUCAAAAUAAUAUCAAUACUAAAAUAUACAUUGUAUACUGUAAGAAAUACCAUUGUAAAUAACACAAGCAUAUUGCUAUUACAUUGUUAUAACUAACUUCUUUCUAAAAAACAGGGUUUCUCACAAGCAGAAACUGAGACACACACACCCAGAGACAGAUGGCUGACACAGAACAUUCAUCAACACUGAUAAGGCAGGAAAGGCCUUGAGCAAGAGUGCUUGGGUCUGUAUUUCACGAAAUAAUGAGACACACACAUAACCAAGGACUGAGGGCUGACGUAAACCUUUCAUAAACACCGAUUAGAUAGGAACAUCUGCGCACACACCUAAAUCUCCUGUUUUAGCUGAACAUUUGGUAACAAAGAACUUUUGAUACAAGACUCAGAAGGAUGACGCACAGCUCAUCCGGACCAAUCUGAGAAGACAACAACCUGAUCAGGACCAACCAGAAAACCAGAUCUACCAGACUCAACCUACUUUCUGUGCUGUAUAAAAUGACUAUGUAUUUCUGUUAUCUGGGUUCUGUCUGCAGGUUCCUUACGAGCUGAAUGAACGAGUCCAUGCAUGUUUGUAUCAGAUAUCUUUACCUCUGAAUAAAACUGCUUUUUAUUAUACGAAUAUC